RNAcentral lists this ribosomal RNA (253 nucleotides) under uncultured bacterium. Its description in RNAcentral is "partial 16S ribosomal RNA". It matches the Rfam family "Bacterial small subunit ribosomal RNA", at positions 524 to 776 of the family's 1533-position model. The record is from RNAcentral.
GACGUAGGGUGCAAGCGUUGUCCGGAAUUACUGGGCGUAAAGCGCGCGUAGGCGGCUUUGUAAGUUAGAGGUGAAAGCCCGGGGCUCAACUCCGGAACUGCCUUUAAGACUGCAUCGCUUGAAUCCGGGAGAGGUGAGUGGAAUUCCGAGUGUAGAGGUGAAAUUCGUAGAUAUUCGGAAGAACACCAGUGGCGAAGGCGGCUCACUGGACCGGUAUUGACGCUGAGGUGCGAAAGCGUGGGGAGCAAACAGG